Molecule: RNA transcript, 3089 nt
Organism: Symphalangus syndactylus (siamang)
Lineage: Eukaryota; Metazoa; Chordata; Mammalia; Primates; Hylobatidae
Gene: SP110
Gene name: SP110 nuclear body protein
Source: RefSeq, a predicted model, not a curated record
ACUGCGUUUGUCAAGGCACAGACUUCCUGUUUUGCCUGCUGGCAUCUCCCUGUAACUCUUCCAGUCUUCCAGGAGUGAUCCCUGUCCCAGCCCCUGGAAAGGGGCAGGAACGACAAACUCAAAGUCCAGAGUCCAGCCUGUUAUUGUGAAUGGAACCGAGAUUUGCCCUCUACCCUCACCUAAGCUCUGAUCCUACACUGCCCGCAAUAGGCGGCUCAUCUGUUACCCAUUGUGUAAAUGAUUACAGGAUGUUCACCAUGACAAGAGCCAUGGAAGAGGCUCUUUUUCAGCACUUCAUGCACCAGAAGCUGGGGAUCGCCUAUGCCAUACACAAGCCAUUUCCCUUCUUUGAAAGCCUCCUAGACAACUCCAUCAUCACUAACAGAAUGUACAUGGAAUCUCUGGAAGCCUGUAGAAAUUUGGUCCCUGUAUCCAGAGUCGUGCACAACAUUCUCACCCAACUGGAGAGGACUUUUAACCUGUCUCUUCUGGUGACAUUGUUCAGUCAAAUUAACCUGCGUGAAUAUCCCAAUCUGGUGACGAUUUACAGAAGCUUCAAACGUGUUGGUGCUUCCUAUGAAUGGCAGAGCAGAGACACACCAAUCCUACUUGAAGCCCCAGCUGGCUUAGCAGAAGGAAGCUCCCUCCAUACCCCACUGGCGCUGCCCCCACCACAACCCCCUCCACCAAGCUGUUCACCCUGUGCGCCAAGAGUCAGUGAGCCUGGAACAUCCUCGCAGCAAAGUGAUGAGAUCCUGAGUGAGUCGCCCAGCCCAUCUGACCCUGUCCUGCCUCUCCCUGGACUCAUCCAGGAAGGAAGAAGCACUUCAGUGACCAAUGACAAGUUAACAUCCAAAAUGAAUGAGGAAGAAGACUCAGAAGAGAUGCCGAGCCUCCUCACUAGCACUGUGCAAGAGAUAAGAGAUAAUUCUCCAGAACCAAAUGACGCAGAAGAGCCCCAGGAGGUGUCCAGCACACCUCCAAACAAGAAAGGAAAGAAAAGAAAAAGAUGUAUCUGGUCAACUCCAAAAAAGAGACCUAAGAAAAAAAGCCUCCCAAGAGGGACAGCCUCACCUAGACAUGGAAUCCAAAAGAAGCUCAAAAGGGUGGAUCAGGUUCCUCAAAAGAAAGAUGACUCAACUUGGAACUCCACGGUAGUGACAAGGGCCCAAAAGGCGAGAACUGAAUGUGCCCGAACGUCCAGAUCAGAGGAGAUCAUUGAUGGCACUUCAGAAAUGAAUGAAGGAAAGAGGUCCCAGAAGACGCCUAGCACACCACGAAGGGUCACACAAGAAAAAAGGAGAAAAGAAUAUGGCCAGUCAAGUUCAAAAAGAAAACAGAAAAAAAAACGCCCAAGAGGGGCAACCUCACCUGGGCAUGGCAUCCAAGAGAAGCUCCGAGUGGUGGAUAAGGUGACUCAAAGGAAAGACGACUCAACCUGGAACUCAAAGGUCAUGACGAGAGUCCAAAAGGCAAGAACUGAAUGUGCCCGAAAGUCUGGAUCGAAAGGAAAACCCAAAAGUGACACUGUGGAUUUUCACUGUUCUAAGCUCCCCGUGACCUGUGGUGAGGCGAAAGGGAUUUUAUAUAAGAAGAAAAUGAAACACGGAUCCUUAGUGAAGUGCAUUCAGAAUGAAGAUGGAACUUGGUUAACACCAAAUGAAUUUGAAAUUGAAGGAAAAGGAAGAAACGCAAAGAACUGGAAACGGAAUAUACGUUGUGGAGGAACGACCCUAGGAGAGCUGCUGAAGAAUGGACUUGUGCUCUGUCCUCCAAGAAUAAAUCUCAAGAGAGAGGAAUGGUGGUGUGCACCUGUAGUCCCAGCUAAGGCUGAGCGGAAAAACUCGGAUGAAUGCGAGGUGUGCUGUAAAGGGGGACAACUUCUCUGCUGCGGUACUUGUCCACGAGUCUUCCAUGAGGACUGUCACAUCCCCCCUGUGGAAGCUAAGAGGACGCUGUGGAGUUGCACCUUCUGCAGGAUGAAGAGGUCUUCAGGAAGCCCACAGUGCCAUCAUGUAUCUAAGAUCCUGGAGAGGCAGAUGCAGCCUCAGGACCAGCUGAUUCGAGAUUACGGUGAGCCCUUUCAGGAAGCAAUGUGGUUGGACCUGGUUAAGGAAAGGCUGAUUACGGAAAUGUACACGGUGGCAUGGUUUGUGCGAGACAUGCGCCUGAUCUUUCGCAACCAUAAAACAUUUUACAAGGCUUCUGACUUUGGCCAGGUAGGACUUGACUUAGAGGCAGAAUUUGAAAAAGAUCUCAAAGACAUGCUCGGUUUUCAUGAAGCCAAUGAUGGCGGUUUCUGGACUCUUCCUUGACCCUGUUCUGAAAAGACUGAAGCAUCCCCACUUCAGGAUUCAGCUGAUGGGACCCUGGCUUGGACUGUUGAUUGCCAUAGGUCAUGGAUUGGCUGCUGCUUUGACACCGCCUUGAGAGACUUAAGAUGUCGGCAUGAUUUUUGAAGCUUUUUAUUGGAUAUUUGGUUGAUAUUAUAUUUGAACAUGAAGUCACCCUGAGGUGUGCUGCCAGGUGCCCCCAUUGUAUUUGGAUACAGGCAGCUGUGAAAUGCAGGGGAGCAGUUAAGAAUAUUAACAGGUCCCCAAUUGAAAUGCUUUAAUGGCAGUGGUACAUGGCCUGCUCCUACCCCACCCAACACACGUCACAACCCCAGUCCCUACCCCCAAAGCCUAUUCUCAAUAUGGCAGCCAGAUUCAGCCUGAUAAGAUCAGUCCAAUGCUACCUACUCCGCCUUCAGGGUGAGAGCCCUCUGAGGCCUGUAUGAGGGGCUUCUCCCCUCCCUCGUAGAUCUGCUGCACCCACUGGCCUCCCUGGAACCCAGGCCACUCCUGCCUCAAGGGCUUUACACCAGCAAUCCCCUGGGUCUGGAGCUUCCUCCCCCUGGAAGUCCCCACAGUUCACCCUCACAUCUUUAAUGUUUUUGCUCAAAUGUCCCUGGGGGAGCCUGCUCCAACCACCCCUAAUGCUGCAACCUCCCACACCUGGCUCUCCUGCUCCCUCUCACGUGUGUCCUUUCUUCCCCCAAAAUAUCCCAUUUAUCAUGUUCUAACAUGCAACAUGAUUUGUUUAUUGUG